RNAcentral lists this ribosomal RNA (545 nucleotides) under uncultured bacterium. Its description in RNAcentral is "bacterial SSU rRNA". It matches the Rfam family "Bacterial small subunit ribosomal RNA", at positions 8 to 526 of the family's 1533-position model. The record is from RNAcentral.
AGAGUUUGAUCAUGGCUCAGGACGAACGCUGGCGGCGUGCCUAAUACAUGCAAGUCGAACGCUUCUCUUUUCACCGGAGCUUGCUCCAACGAAAAGAGAAGAGUGGCGGACGGGUGAGUAACACGUGGGCAACCUGCCCAACAGAGGGGGAUAACACUUGGAAACAGGUGCUAAUACCGCAUAGGUCAUCAUUCCACAUGGAAAGAUGACAAAAGACGCUACGGUGUCGCUGUUGGAUGGGCCCGCGCUGCAUUAGUUAGUUGGUGAGGUAACGGCUCACCAAGACCAUGAUGCAUAGCCGACCUGAGAGGGUGAUCGGCCACACUGGGACUGAGACACGGCCCAGACUCCUACGGGAGGCAGCAGUAGGGAAUCUUCGGCAAUGGACGAAAGUCUGACCGAGCAACGCCGCGUGAGUGAAGAAGGUUUUCGGAUCGUAAAACUCUGUUGUUAGAGAAGAACAAGUAGGAGAGUAACUGCUCUUACCUUGACGGUAUCUAACCAGAAAGCCACGGCUAACUACGUGCCAGCAGCCGCGGUAAUAC